ACAACCUGACAGGAAAUGAUUUAAUCAAGACAAGAUAAACGGUCUGAUGAUCCUUGACUUUGAGACAACUGGUGUCAUCCUAUAAGGAAGAUACAUUGGUGUCCUGCGGUGAGGGAGACAACCGUGACUGAUGACUGCCUGUUGUGCCACUGGACAAGAGUCUGGAAGAACGUUAAAAGCUUUUGUGUUCCACGAAAACUUCUGCAGACUUCCGGGAAAUGGGGAACAAAUAAACUUGACGGAGACAAGGACAAGCCAGGCUGGAAAUUCAAGUCCAUUACCACACUGCUGUCUCUUUUUUUUGGAGUGGGUUUUCCUGUUGCCAACAUUAUU
Branchiostoma belcheri (Belcher's lancelet) is the source of this 333-nucleotide long non-coding RNA. RefSeq lists it as uncharacterized. The transcript has 3 exons. Lineage: Eukaryota; Metazoa; Chordata; Leptocardii; Amphioxiformes; Branchiostomatidae. The record is from RefSeq and is a predicted model, not a curated record.